Molecule: transfer RNA, 77 nt
Filed under: Moraxella sp.
Lineage: Bacteria; Pseudomonadati; Pseudomonadota; Gammaproteobacteria; Moraxellales; Moraxellaceae
Also listed under: 32 other names
Description: tRNA-Arg
Rfam family: tRNA
About the family: Transfer RNA (tRNA) molecules are approximately 80 nucleotides in length. Their secondary structure includes four short double-helical elements and three loops (D, anti-codon, and T loops).
Source: RNAcentral
GCGCCUGUAGCUCAGUUGGAUAGAGCAUCUGCCUUCUAAGCAGGUGGUCGCAGGUUCGAAUCCUGCCAGGCGCGCCA